Oncorhynchus tshawytscha (Chinook salmon) is the source of this 864-nucleotide long non-coding RNA. The record is from Ensembl. NCBI's taxonomy places the organism in Eukaryota, Metazoa, Chordata, Actinopteri, Salmoniformes, Salmonidae.
AGAGAGACUGGGAUGACCAACACUGGUAGGUAGAGAGACUGGGAUGACCAACACUGGUAGGUAGAGAGACUGGGAUGACCAACACUGGUAGGCAGAGAGACUGGGAUGACCAACACUGGUAGGCAGAGAGACUGGGAUGACCAACACUGGUAGGUAGAGACAGACUGGGAUGACCAACACUGGUAGGUAGAGACAGACUGGGAUGACCAACACUGGUAGGCAGAGAGACUGGGAUGGCCAACACUGGUAGGUAGAGUGACUGGGAUGACCAACACUGGUAGGUAGAGAGACUGGGAUGACCAACACUGGUAGGUAGAGACAGACUGGGAUGACCAACACUGGUAGGUAGAGACAGACUGGGAUGACCAACACUGGUAGGUAGAGACAGACUGGGAUGACCAACACUGGUAGGUAGAGACAGACUGGGAUGACCAACACUGGUAGGUAGAGACAGACUGGGAUGACCAACACUGGUAGGUAGAGACAGACUGGGAUGACCAACACUGGUAGGUAGAGAGACUGGGAUGACCAACACUGGUAGGUAGAGAGACUGGGAUGACCAACACUGGUAGGUAGAGACAGACUGGGAUGACCAACACUGGUAGGUAGAGACAGACUGGGAUGACCAACAAUGGUAGGUAGAGACAGACUGGGAUGACCAACACUGGUAGGCAGACAGACUGGGAUGACCAACACUGGUAGGUAGAGACAGACUGGAUGACCAACACUGGUAGCUUGGCAUGUAAAGGCGAGGAAGAUGCCAAUGCCACUACAGUAUAUCUCCAUGGAAGUAUGAACCCCCAUAGCUAGCUACAGUUGGGCUCAAUUCCAUUUCAAUUCCAGUCAAUUCAGGAAGUAAAAGUA